RNAcentral lists this ribosomal RNA (443 nucleotides) under uncultured bacterium. RNAcentral's name for it is "partial 16S ribosomal RNA". It matches the Rfam family "Bacterial small subunit ribosomal RNA", at positions 338 to 795 of the family's 1533-position model. The record is from RNAcentral.
CCUACGGGUGGCAGCAGUGGGGAAUAUUGGGCAAUGGGCGCAAGCCUGACCCAGCAACGCCGCGUGAAGGAAGAAGGCCUUCGGGUUGUAAACUUCUUUUCUGAGGGACGAAGAAAGUGACGGUACCUCAGGAAUAAGCCACGGCUAACUACGUGCCAGCAGCCGCGGUAAUACGUAGGUGGCAAGCGUUAUCCGGAUUUAUUGGGCGUAAAGGGCGCGUAGGCGGGUAAGCAAGUCAGAUGUGAAAACCCAGGGCUCAACCCUGGGCCUGCAAUUGAAACUGUUUUUCUUGAGUGCAGGAGAGGCAAUCGGAAGUCCGUGUGUAGCGGUGAAAUGCGUAGAUAUAAGGAGGAACACCAGUGGCGAAGGCGGAUUGCUGGACUGUAACUGACGCUGAGGCGCGAAAGCGUGGGGAGCAAACAGGAUUAGAUACCCGUGUAGUC